RNAcentral lists this ribosomal RNA (305 nucleotides) under uncultured bacterium. Its description in RNAcentral is "bacterial SSU rRNA". It matches the Rfam family "Bacterial small subunit ribosomal RNA", at positions 333 to 654 of the family's 1533-position model. The record is from RNAcentral.
UUCAUCCUACGGGGCGCAGCAGUGGGGAAUAUUGCACAAUGGGGGAAACCCUGAUGCAGCGACGCCGCGUGAGUGAAGAAGUAUUUCGGUAUGUAAAGCUCUAUCAGCAGGAACGAGACAAGACGGUACCUGACUAAGAAGCCCCGGCUAACUACGUGCCAGCAGCCGCGGUAAUACGUAGGGGGCAAGCGUUAUCCGGAUUUACUGGGUGUAAAGGGAGCGUAGACGGCUGUGCAAGUCUGAAGUGAAAUGCCGGGGCUCAACCCCGGAACUGCUUUGGAAACUGUACAGCUAGAGUGCAGGAG